AGAGUUUGAUCAUGGCUCAGGAUGAACGCUGGCGGCGUGCCUAAUACAUGCAAGUCGAACGGUGAGGAGCAAUCCUCAUAGUGGCGAACGGGUGAGUAACGCGUUGGCGACCUGCCUCGAGGCGAGGGAUAACAGACCGAAAGGUUUGCUAAUACCUCAUGUGGUUCGGGUAUUUAGAAAGCCUGAACUAAAGGCGAAAGUCACUUCGAGAGGGGCCUGCGUCCCAUCAGCUAGUAGGUGAGGUAACGGCUCACCUAGGCGAUGACGGGUAGGGGACCUGAGAGGGUGGCCCCCCACAAUGGAACUGAAACACGGUCCAUACACCUACGGGUGGCAGCAGUAGGGGAUAUUGGUAAUCUGCGAAAGCGGGAACCAGCAACGCCGCGUGUGCGAUGAAGGCCUUCGGGUUGUAAAGCACUUUUCACCGGGACGAGGAAGGACGGUACCGGUGGAAUAAGCCUCGGCUAACUACGUGCCAGCAGCCGCGGUAAAACGUAGGAGGCGAGCGUUAUCCGGAUUUACUGGGUGUAAAGCGCAUGCAGGCGGUUCGCUAAGUUGGGUGUGAAAGCUCCUGGCUCAACUGGGAGAGGUCGCUCAAGACUGGCGGACUAGAGCGUGGUAGGGGAAGGCGGAAUUCCGGGUGUAGUGGUGAAAUGCGUAGAUAUCCGGAGGAACACCAGUGGCGAAGGCGGCCUUCUAGACCAUGACUGACGCUCAGAUGCGAAAGCUAGGGUAGCAAACGGGAUUAGAGACCCCGGUAGUCCUAGCCGUAAACGAUGUGAACUUGGCGCCGGAUGGGUAAAACCGAUCGGUGCCGAAGCUAACGCGAUAAGUUCACCACCUGGGGACUACGGCCGCAAGGUUAAAACUUAAAUGAAUUGACGG
RNAcentral lists this ribosomal RNA (885 nucleotides) under uncultured bacterium. RNAcentral's name for it is "bacterial SSU rRNA". It matches the Rfam family "Bacterial small subunit ribosomal RNA", at positions 8 to 916 of the family's 1533-position model. The record is from RNAcentral.